Molecule: long non-coding RNA, 422 nt
Organism: Drosophila biarmipes
Lineage: Eukaryota; Metazoa; Arthropoda; Insecta; Diptera; Drosophilidae
Exons: 3
Source: RefSeq, a predicted model, not a curated record
GCCUUUGGCCAGUCCUUUUGUUUUGCGUCUCUCCAAAAGAGAAAGGGACCUGGUGCACUCUUUAUGAGUUAUGAAAAGAGAAGCAGCUGCUGUUUAAAUUGUGCUCUGCGAUACAUUUUGAUUUAUUAAUAAAAGUGAUAUUUAAAAAAAUUUAUGUCAAGAAAGUGAUACCUUAAGUGCAAGACUUUGUGUCGUGAUGAAAUGUUUUGUGCCAAUAAAAAUCCCGCAGAGUUUUACACAGUUCGAAAAGAUAAGUUAGCCAGGGAUUCCGUGGACCCGAACAAAUGUUUACGAAAGACGAUGACAAACAUUAAAAACAAAUUGACAAAACACAAAACUAGAUUUUGGAACAACAACUGUAAUUCAACAGAUAAAUAAAAUAAUACAAUUUAAAUAAAAUGAAGCAAAAUAUUAAUAAAUUG